This 419-nucleotide ribosomal RNA is filed under the name bacterium. RNAcentral's name for it is "partial 16S ribosomal RNA". It matches the Rfam family "Bacterial small subunit ribosomal RNA", at positions 355 to 776 of the family's 1533-position model. The record is from RNAcentral.
UGGGGGAUAUUGCACAAUGGGCGAAAGCCUGAUGCAGCGACGCCGCGUGGGGGAUGAAGGCCUUCGGGUUGCAAACUUCUUUUGCUCUGAACAAGGCAUGCUAAUGGGUGUGUUGAGUGUAGGGGUUGAUUAGCGCCGGCUAACUACGUGCCAGCAGCCGCGGUAAUACGUAGGGCGCGAGCGUUGUCCGGAAUUAUUGGGCGUAAAGGGCUUGUAGGUGGCUGGUUGCGUCUGUCGUGAAAGCUCAUGGCUUAACUGUGGGUUUGCGGUGGGUACGGGCUGGCUUGAGUGCAGUAGGGGAGGCUGGAAUUCCUGGUGUAGCGGUGGAAUGCGCAGAUAUCAGGAGGAAUACCGGUGGCGAAGGCGGGUCUCUGGGCUGUUACUGACACUGAGGAGCGAAAGCAUGGGGAGCGAACAGG